RNAcentral lists this ribosomal RNA (1430 nucleotides) under Adenomera sp. AMNH-A 166312. Its description in RNAcentral is "partial 16S ribosomal RNA". It matches the Rfam family "Bacterial large subunit ribosomal RNA", at positions 349 to 2597 of the family's 2925-position model. The record is from RNAcentral. Lineage: Eukaryota; Metazoa; Chordata; Amphibia; Anura; Leptodactylidae.
GCCCCCCUCUAGCCACAAUAUUGUAUAUGUAAACUCACCACCUUCUGAUAUAAACUAAAACAUUCUUAAGUUCUAGUAAAGGAGAUUGAAAUUUCUUUAUAGCGCUAUAUCUUAGUACCGUAAGGGAAAGAUGAAAUAAUAAUGAAAUACACCCCAAGCACAAGAAAGUAAAGACUGACCCUUGUACCUUUUGUAUUAUGGUUUAACUAGUCUAAUCAAGCACAAGGACUUUAAGUUUGACCUCCCGAAACUAAGCGAGCUACUCCAAGGCAACCUAAAGAGCCAACCCGUCUCUGUGGCAAAAGAGUGGGAAGACCUUCGAGUAGAGGUGAUAGACCUAACGAGCUUAGUGAUAGCUGGUUGUUUGAGAAAAGGAUUUAAGUCCAACCUAAAAUUACUACCGUCCAUCUAAACGGGCCCCCCAGGAUUUUAGAGUAAUUCAAGCAAGGUGCAGCCUACUUGAAACAGGACACAACCUUAACCUGCGGGUAACAUAACGGGCCCUUCCCGUAACCAAGUAGGCCUAAGAGCAGCCACCUUCUAAAAAGCGUCAUAGCUUCACUGCACAAACCUGAAUUCCUAGCAUUACAACGAACCCCACCCGCCCUAUCAAACAAUUCUAUAAAACUAUAGAAGCUUUUAUGUUAAAACUAGUAACAAGAAUAAAAAAUUCUCCUAAUGCAAACGUAAAUCAGACAGGAUACCCCACUGAUAAUUAACACAUGUGAACCUACAGCAGCAACUUGACAAGAAAACCCUCCUACAUUUUAUGUUAACCUUACACAAGAGCAUUUUUAGAAAGAUUAAAAGAAGAAGAAGGAACUCGGCAAAACUUGGCCUCGCCUGUUUACCAAAAACAUCGCCUCUUGCAACCAAUAAGAGGUCCAGCCUGCCCAGUGACUCUGUUCAACGGCCGCGGUAUUCUAACCGUGCAAAGGUAGCGCAAUCAUUUGUCCUUUAAAUAAGGACUAGUAUGAACGGCACCACGAAAGCUAUACUGUCUCCUUCCCCUAAUCAGUGAAACUAAUCUUCCCGUGAAGAAGCGGGGAUAAUUUUAUAAGACGAGAAGACCCUAUGGAGCUUUAAACACACAACAAUUGUCACGGACCUACCCCCUUCCCCGGAAGAAACCGCCCACCCGAACAUUUUGAUUGCAAGUUUUAGGUUGGGGUGACCACGGAACAAAAAAUAACCUCCAUGGUGAAUAGGAUUCUUUCCCUUAAACCCAGGGCCACGACCCUAAGGAUCAAUAAAUUGACACCCAUUGACCCAAUACUUUUGACCAACGAACCAAGUUACCCUAGGGAUAACAGCGCAAUCCACUUCUAGAGCUCCUAUCGACAAGUGGGUUUACGACCUCGAUGUUGGAUCAGGACACCCCAGUAGUGCAGCCGCUGCUAAAGGUUCGUUUGUUCAACGACUAAAGUCCU